This 205-nucleotide long non-coding RNA is filed under the name Linum usitatissimum (flax). RNAcentral describes it as "long non-coding RNA (LUSI_LNC006502)". Lineage: Eukaryota; Viridiplantae; Streptophyta; Magnoliopsida; Malpighiales; Linaceae. The record is from RNAcentral.
UAACGUGGGACUGAUUCCAGCCAAGGAGGGCGAGGCAGUGGGCUUCAAGCUGCACUACGGUGGAUCAUCGGACUCCAAAUCCCUAAUGUUUUAUUGAAAGUGAUUCUCAGGGACUCGUUGCUAACUAUUAUAUCAAAUACUAUACUAAAUAAUAAUAUUUAGCAUAAUAAUCAUUAUAGUACUUAGUAAUAUACUUUGUACAAAA